AACCAGGAUGUUGGCUUAGAAGCGGCCUCUCAUUGAAAGAGUGCGUAAUAGCUCACUGGUCGAGUGAUCCUGCGCCGAAGAUUUCCGGGGCUAAAACUUACUACCGAAGCUACGGCAUCAGUAAUGAGGGGUAGGGGAGCUUCCCAUACGGGUUGAAGCAUGACCGUAAGGACAUGUGGACAGUAUGGGAGUGAGAAUGUUGGCAUGAGUAGCGAGAUGUGGGUGAGAAUCCCACAGGCCGUAAACCCAAGGUUUCCAGGGGAAGGUUCGUCCGCCCUGGGUUAGUCGGGACCUAAGCUGAGGCCGAAAGGCGUAGGUGAUGGACAACAGGUUGAUAUUCCUGUACUACCGAUAACC
RNAcentral lists this ribosomal RNA (357 nucleotides) under Clostridioides difficile. Its description in RNAcentral is "partial 23S ribosomal RNA". It matches the Rfam family "Bacterial large subunit ribosomal RNA", at positions 1091 to 1455 of the family's 2925-position model. Lineage: Bacteria; Bacillati; Bacillota; Clostridia; Peptostreptococcales; Peptostreptococcaceae. The record is from RNAcentral.